RNAcentral lists this ribosomal RNA (253 nucleotides) under uncultured bacterium. RNAcentral's name for it is "partial 16S ribosomal RNA". It matches the Rfam family "Bacterial small subunit ribosomal RNA", at positions 524 to 776 of the family's 1533-position model. The record is from RNAcentral.
UACGUAGGUGGCAAGCGUUGUCCGGAUUUACUGGGCGUAAAGAGCGCGCAGGCGGUCGGAUCAGUCGAAUGUGAAAGCCCCCGGCUCAACUGGGGAGGGUCAUUCGAUACUGUCCGACUCGAAGGCAGGAGAGGGAAGCGGAAUUCCCGGUGUAGUGGUGAAAUGCGUAGAUAUCGGGAGGAACACCAGUGGCGAAGGCGGCUUUCUGGCCUGUUCUUGACGCUGAGGCGCGAAAGCUAGGGGAGCGAACAGG